This 1875-nucleotide long non-coding RNA is filed under the name Homo sapiens (human). RNAcentral's name for it is "non-protein coding lnc-ZIC1-6:7". The record is from RNAcentral. Lineage: Eukaryota; Metazoa; Chordata; Mammalia; Primates; Hominidae.
GAGGCUCACGCAGCGCUUCUGGCUGGAACGGGGAAGCCUGCACUUAGCUUUGGGAGUGGGUUUGGGAGAGGGAGGAGGAGCCGCCGGGAGUCUGGCGGGAGGGCGGUGUUCCCGUCUGGGUUCCUCUCUGCUGUCCCAGCCCCGGUAGCUUCCACAGCAGCCUCGAAGGGUGAGAAUUUGCUCUUCUAUGGACUUGGAUACUCCACCCAGUCUGAAGUGACUGCAAAUCUGCGGCAAUCUUGGCUGACUGGGACCUCGCCAGACUCUUAAGCCAUGGAAAUGGAUCGCCCCUCAUUAAUUCAGGGGCAGGUUCAUCACCCUGUAAAAGGAAGGCCGUGAUUUUAUUUUACUCCGUAAACCGAAAGUUUUAUUGUCCAGUGAACAUUUCUUGCUCCGCCGCUUGUGCCAAGAGAGCCUUAGACUCUUUCCAGUAAUGAGGCUUGUAAAUCCUGCGGAAUCGGAGCCCAACGUGUGUAAUGCCGGGGCUGUGCUUACAAGAUCGUGCUCCAGUCCGCAUGGAAAAUUACUCCCAAAGACGUGGUCGGAGAGGUCGAGAUCUCUGAGCCUUGGCCCCCACUGCUUCCACUUUUGACUGAUGUCUAAGAAAAUUCCCUUUUUUCUGUUCUCACAUUUUAACUAGCCAAGGGUUUAACUUGUUGGAAUGAGUGGGAGCAAAAGCACAAUUAAGAAAAAAGCUUGACAGUUUUGCCUCAUACAUUUAAUGACAUAAGCUAUUUUAUAGGAGAAAGAGAACCAAACUGCUACCAUUCUGGAAUCUCCUGCCUAAAUUUUCGUGAAAUUAGAAAAAAACAGAAUCGAGACAACACCCGUUAUAACUCUGGGCCUUUGAAAUUAAGACAGAAAAUUAUGGAAAAAUGUGUUCCAUUAUGAUCACGUUUUGUCUAAAAUUAACAUAUCAAGAUAACAUGAACUUAAUGCUUUCAUCUUGAUAGCAUUAAAAACAGGUGGAAAACCCUGCAAAGAAAUCUUGCCUGGGAUGUGACAUUUUAGAAAGAAUCAUUUCCUGUGCCCAGAACUAAGCCAGUUAUUACUCUGUUUUGAAGGUUUGGUCUCAGUUUUUUAAAAGAAGAGGAAAACUGGAGAAAGUUCUGAGAAGAGUAACAAAUAAUUAAAGAAGUGGAAACUAUGACCUGUGAGAAGAAUGAAAUAAGGUUUAUUUAGUCUGAAGGGGAAAAAAAAAGCUAAAAGAUGGAUUCCUUAAUAACAGCCUUUCAUGUGUGGCAAGUACAGCUUCAUAAAACUAGGCACAAAGCAAACAGCAUCAGUCCUCUGAGUCCAAGGACUCUGCUAGGAAUGGCUGGUGUUUUGGCCAGAUCUGUCUCCAGAAAGCCAAACCUGCAAUUGCCAAACUCCUUGAACUUGACUUCUUGCUUCCUUGGUUCUCCAGUAUCUUUAAGAACUUGGAGAGCUACAACCUGGCUUCCUGCCCUCCCAAACCCCCGUUCCCCUCAUGAAUGCUUACCGGCUUCUCUGCAUCACAGAAAAAGCAGAGGUCAUCAGUAUAAAGAUUUUGAACUAACUUCCCCUCCUACUUCUGUUGCUCCAACCAUAGAUGGACUUGCAUUUACUGUCAUUGCUGACUCUCCCGGGAAAGUCUCUCCAAUUUUGCUCUGGAUCCACUCACUUGCAACUUCCUCACACACUGUACCUUAUCAAUGGCCCUCUCUCCUACACACUCACCUCUCUCUCUUUACAUUUAGAAGCACUUAAAUACAAUACAGACUCUAUCAUAAUAAAAGUAAUAGGCUCAUUUCUUUGGCCCUACAUAUUCAUCUACCAAAUUUCUAGGCCAGAGAUUCUCAAACAUUUUGGUCUCAGAAAUACUUUCCAUCCCUAAAAAUUAUUAAAGGCCCC